Long non-coding RNA from Patiria miniata (bat star), 655 nucleotides. RefSeq lists it as uncharacterized. The transcript is spliced from 2 exons. The record is from RefSeq and is a predicted model, not a curated record. NCBI's taxonomy places the organism in Eukaryota, Metazoa, Echinodermata, Asteroidea, Valvatida, Asterinidae.
AUGCCUUGCACAAUUUAUAUUAUACUUAUAAUCAUUGUAACCUGAUGGGAAUUUGAAUCAUUGUAAUCAGUAUUCUUGGCAGUAUCACCAGUUUCUGAAGGUGUGAUUAUGUAAGUCAAUGAAAUGAAAAUUCAAGGCAGAACAUGCCUUCAAAGUUUCUAGAAAACAGCCUAAUAGUGCAUGAGGAAUACAUUUCGAUUUGAUCUGGAUACAAAUGAGAUUUAAACGUUCCUACUUCCAAGACAAACUUUAUACUCAUUUCGACUGAGAUUUAUAAUCUAAUAUAAUCUGUGAAGACUUGUACUGAAAAUGUAUUAAUUAAAGCAAAUCACUUCAUAUAGCCCUUUAUCUCUGUGUUACUUUACAAUCAUUACCUAAUUUAAUAUGCAAAUGAAAAACAAACCAGCAAAAUUUCAGUACAAUUAAAAAUGCUGAUCUGUAUUAACAAUAGAAAAGGAAUAUUUCAUUUUCAUAUAAUUACUUUUUGUGGAUUCACUUUUUUCGCUUAAACCUUUUUUUAACCGAAGUAUAUAACAUCAUGGAGUUACAGAAAUGGGUAUUAUACAUUCAUGUGAAAUAAAAAGACGUUUUCACUAGAAUAAUGCAUAACUCUGAUAUGAAAGACAUACAAUAUAUCAAAACAAGGCACAUGUGA